Molecule: ribosomal RNA, 433 nt
Filed under: uncultured bacterium
Lineage: Bacteria
Description: partial 16S ribosomal RNA
Rfam family: Bacterial small subunit ribosomal RNA
Source: RNAcentral
AACGAACGCUGGCGGCAUGCCUAACACAUGCAAGUCGAACGAGACCUUCGGGUCUAGGGGCGCACGGGUGCGUAACGCGGGGGAACCUGCCCUUAGGUUCGGAAUAACUCCCCGAAAGGGGUGCUAAUACCGGAUAAUGUCUUCGGACCAAAGAUUUAUCGCCUUUGGAUGGGCCCGGGUUGGAUUAGCUAGUUGGUAGGGUAAAAGCCUACCAAGGCGACGAUCCAUAGCUGGUCGGAGAGGAUGAUCAGCCACACUGGGACUGAGACACGGCCCAGACUCCUACGGGAGGCAGCAGUGGGGAAUAUUGGACAAUGGGCGAAAGCCUGAUCCAGCAAUGCCGCGUGAGUGAUGAAGGCCUUAGGGUUGUAAAGCUCUUUUACCCGGGAUGAUAAUGACAGUACCGGGAGAAUAAGCACCGGCUAACUCCGUG